CUUGCCUUGCCUCACCGCGCCUUGGAUUUACCUGAGGAAUUGCUAGACCUGACUGUAAUGCACUUUGGAUUCCCCUGAGUCCAUACAUUAUUUGUUCCAGCUUGGUUCAGCUAGGUACCCUGUACCUGAUCACAAUUCCUUUUCCUUACAAAUCCUGCUGCUGCUAACAGCAGCAGUGCUUUGUCUUUACGAUCUGCUCUUCAGAGCUCAGUACAGUGGUUCAUAUCAGAGAGAAAAUCAGGGAGACAAAUGUAGUAUACUUUUUGCUGAAAUUGCCAUUAAAGGAGAGAAGCAGGAGAGCCUGAGUGCUGGCAUAGCCAGAGCCAGGAGGGGCCAGAGAUAACCUGACCAUCAUGAAAUGAUCACUGGCUCUUCUGCCUCUCAUUUCUCCUUUGAUAGUGACGGUAAUAAACCACAGACAGAACGUGGGAUUAUCCACUUAGCUCUGUUCUUCCCGACUCCUGAGUGAGAUGAAAGCCUCAGCCACAAUCCUGAGCCUUCAAGAAGAAAUUAGGCAACUUGAUCUUAUUUCAAAGGACACCAGACUUAAUGGGGCAUGUGACCUUUCUCAAAACAUCUUUGAAUUACUGGGCAACAUUUCUGAACUCUACAGAAGUGCAUGCAAGCAAAAACGUGAACACGGUGGUCUGAUUUUGAGCUCAGUCAUGCAGGAGCCUACAAACACAUUCCCAGAAACUCCAGCUGGCAAAUGGUGCUUACAGCAAUGAACCAACCCGCUCAGGGAAGGUGGAAUGCAGGAAGAUGGUGUGAACUUCCCAGCCCUGAAUUACAUACUCACACAUUUGUAAAGUUCCAGAAACACUUUAUUUAAAAAUGGAGUUGUAAAUGCAUAUAACAAAAUAACAUACAUAAUAAAUGUAACAAAAAUAAAUAAGGAGAACA
RNAcentral lists this long non-coding RNA (903 nucleotides) under Anas platyrhynchos platyrhynchos (common mallard). RNAcentral's name for it is "lncRNA (ENSAPLG00000022640.1)". The record is from RNAcentral. Lineage: Eukaryota; Metazoa; Chordata; Aves; Anseriformes; Anatidae.